UGCCGUCGGCCUUCCCUCACUUACAAACCCUAGCCCUACAAGAGAACAUAUGCUAACCCUUGGAUCCAAUCCAACGAUUCUCAUCAUCUACACCGUCCUAUACAUGCCCUCUCUAUCCCUAACCCCACACUCCCAACCGAGGUCCGCCGACACCCACCUCUUCUUCUAGCUGGAAACCUAGCCCACAAUUCACUCGCCGUGCUAACCUCGAUGCUACCAACCAGACCACUCAAGUCGGCUUCCUCUCCGGUAUUGUCGCCGCAUCUUCUUCCACAACUCAUCAUUUUUCCUCCUAAUGGUCGGAUCUAGUGUCAAACUCUUUGGAGAAGUCGGCAAACCCCUUAUGGACACAUAUCCCCCCUAAAAUUGCGACAUGUUGGGCUAGAGAGGUCGCCAGUCAGCGAACCCUAAAGAUCGGCCGAUGCGUCGACAUUCAAGGUUCUAUCAAAAUCGGCAGAGGAUUCGUGCCAUGCUAUGGUGCAAAUUGAGCCCCCAAAUUGUGUUGCAGGGGAGGCCGUGGGACGCUAUGAGAUGGUUCGACUUAGUUGGUCAUGACGCGAAUUUCGAUUUGGAUCAUGGGGCGGGUCUUGUGUAUGGUACUGGUAGAUUCAGUAGUAUUUGGCGUGAUUGGACUGUGGAGAACAUUUAUUGAUGUAGAUGGAUGCUGGUAUCGUUUUACUACUUGUAGCAGGGGCGUAUCUCUGGCUAGCAGCUCUGUACUCUGCAGGUGACUGGUAAUUGCGGUGGACUUGUUUUGGGAGGAGACAUGCUCAGAUGAGUUGCAUGUGUAUCCUUCCACAUGCUUUAUUUAGCACAUUUGCUGUAGCCUGAUGUGAAUUGUCUUCAGGACAGAUGCUAAUUCCAGAGAUUUGAUUUGAAACCUGUAAGGUCUACAGUAGACUUUUUCUGUUCAUCUGGGGAAUUUCAGCCUUUUGAUUCAAGACCUAUCGGUAUGGUUUGAGCUUUGAUUUGUCAAAAGCUUACUAAACCUUAUUCAGCAGUGAUCAAAGUGGAUAGGCACAAGUAUCAAAGUUUACAUAGGGAUAGGUGUGUAGUUGCUAUUUUUUGUAUAGUUUUAACUACACUACAUAGGGGUGUAGCGAGCUAAUCUCGAUCCCGUCUGUGAAUCUUGAUAGGAGCAACAUGUACGGUUUCCAAUUUUUAUAGUGUGCCAAGUUUGUUGCUUCCUGGAUGUUUCACUAGUUAUAUGCUGUACCACGUGGUCAUUGUUUGUAUCAGAAUGAAGCAAAAGAGAAAAGUGAGUUUCUAACAGUAAA
Long non-coding RNA from Triticum aestivum (bread wheat), 1277 nucleotides. RefSeq lists it as uncharacterized. Lineage: Eukaryota; Viridiplantae; Streptophyta; Magnoliopsida; Poales; Poaceae. The transcript has 2 exons. The record is from RefSeq and is a predicted model, not a curated record.